This 31-nucleotide non-coding RNA is filed under the name Homo sapiens (human). Lineage: Eukaryota; Metazoa; Chordata; Mammalia; Primates; Hominidae. The record is from RNAcentral.
UAGCCACAGACCAUGCCCUUUUCUACCCAGA